GCGCAAGGAAGUGUUGGAGGUAUGCCCUAGAGGCAAUCAUAGAGAUGAUGAUAUUCCAUUUGUAUCCAUGAUUUGUAUAUUGUGUUCAUUGAAUACCCAUUAAAGGCUACUUGAAUUGAUUUGCAAUUAUGUGAAUUGUAUGUGAAACUCUUUACUUGUAUGGUUAUUCUAAAGUUGUCCCUAGUCGGAGUUCAUGAAAGGACACACAUGAAUAUUAGACUAGCACAUGUAUUAGUUGAUGACUAUGUUUCACAAGUCAUGGACAUGGAGAUGUUGAACUAAUAAUGUGGACACAUGUGGAGACAUGUGCUAGGACUGACCCAACACGAGAAGUAGUUCUCUCUUUAAACAACAUAUACACUUUGUCCUUAGACCUGAGAUUGUCGCAUGUAUUCUAGAUGUGGAUCGACCUACUUAGGGGCUAUCAAACGCUACGCCGUAACAGGGUAGUUAUAAAGGUAGCUUUCGGGUUUGUCAAGAAGCAUGCUAUG
Molecule: long non-coding RNA, 491 nt
Filed under: Setaria viridis
Lineage: Eukaryota; Viridiplantae; Streptophyta; Magnoliopsida; Poales; Poaceae
Description: long non-coding RNA (SVIR_LNC007866)
Source: RNAcentral